RNAcentral lists this ribosomal RNA (189 nucleotides) under Escherichia coli O157:H7. RNAcentral's name for it is "partial 23S ribosomal RNA". It matches the Rfam family "Bacterial large subunit ribosomal RNA", at positions 2759 to 2925 of the family's 2925-position model. Lineage: Bacteria; Pseudomonadati; Pseudomonadota; Gammaproteobacteria; Enterobacterales; Enterobacteriaceae. The record is from RNAcentral.
AGAGAUAAGUGCUGAAAGCAUCUAAGCACGAAACUUGCCCCGAGAUGAGUUCUCCCUGACCCUUUAAGGGUCCUGAAGGAACGUUGAAGACGACGACGUUGAUAGGCCGGGUGUGUAAGCGCAGCGAUGCGUUGAGCUAACCGGUACUAAUGAACCGUGAGGCUUAACCUUACAACGCCGAAGGUGUUU